CUUGCUUCUCUUGAGAGCGGCGGACGGGUGAGUAAUGCCUAGGAAUCUGCCUGGUAGUGGGGGAUAACGUCCGGAAACGGACGCUAAUACCGCAUACGUCCUACGGGAGAAAGCAGGGGACCUUCGGGCCUUGCGCUAUCAGAUGAGCCUAGGUCGGAUUAGCUAGUUGGUGGGGUAAUGGCUCACCAAGGCGACGAUCCGUAACUGGUCUGAGAGGAUGAUCAGUCACACUGGAACUGAGACACGGUCCAGACUCCUACGGGAGGCAGCAGUGGGGAAUAUUGGACAAUGGGCGAAAGCCUGAUCCAGCCAUGCCGCGUGUGUGAAGAAGGUCUUCGGAUUGUAAAGCACUUUAAGUUGGGAGGAAGGGCAGUAAAUUAAUACUUUGCUGUUUUGACGUUACCGACAGAAUAAGCACCGGCUAACUCUGUGCCAGCAGCCGCGGUAAUACAGAGGGUGCAAGCGUUAAUCGGAAUUACUGGGCGUAAAGCGCGCGUAGGUGGUUCGUUAAGUUGGAUGUGAAAUCCCCGGGCUCAACCUGGGAACUGCAUUCAAAACUGACGAGCUAGAGUAUGGUAGA
RNAcentral lists this ribosomal RNA (580 nucleotides) under uncultured bacterium. RNAcentral's name for it is "bacterial SSU rRNA". It matches the Rfam family "Bacterial small subunit ribosomal RNA", at positions 79 to 655 of the family's 1533-position model. The record is from RNAcentral.